AUUGAACGCUGGCGGCAUGCUUUACACAUGCAAGUCGAACGGUAACAGGGUGCUUGCACCGCUGACGAGUGGCGAACGGGUGAGUAAUGCGUCGGAACGUGCCGAGUAGUGGGGGAUAACGCAGCGAAAGUUGUGCUAAUACCGCAUACGUACUGAGGUAGAAAGUGGGGGACCUUCGGGCCUCACGCUAUUCGAGCGGCCGACGUCUGAUUAGCUAGUAGGUGAGGUAAAGGCUCACCUAGGCGACGAUCAGUAGCGGGUCUGAGAGGAUGAUCCGCCACACUGGGACUGAGACACGGCCCAGACUCCUACGGGAGGCAGCAGUGGGGAAUUUUGGACAAUGGGCGAAAGCCUGAUCCAGCCAUGCCGCGUGUCUGAAGAAGG
RNAcentral lists this ribosomal RNA (384 nucleotides) under uncultured bacterium. RNAcentral's name for it is "bacterial SSU rRNA". It matches the Rfam family "Bacterial small subunit ribosomal RNA", at positions 30 to 414 of the family's 1533-position model. The record is from RNAcentral.